GUGGGGAAUAUUGCACAAUGGGGGAAACCCUGAUGCAGCAACGCCGCGUGAGUGAUGAAGGUUUUCGGAUCGUAAAGCUCUGUCUUUGGGGAAGAUAAUGACGGUACCCAAGGAGGAAGCCACGGCUAACUACGUGCCAGCAGCCGCGGUAAUACGUAGGUGGCGAGCGUUAUCCGGAUUUACUGGGCGUAAAGGGAGCGUAGGCGGAUGAUUAAGUGGGAUGUGAAAUACCCGGGCUCAACUUGGGUGCUGCAUUCCAAACUGGUUAUCUAGAGUGCAGGAGAGGAGAGUGGAAUUCCUAGUGUAGCGGUGAAAUGCGUAGAGAUUAGGAAGAACACCAGUGGCGAAGGCGACUCUCUGGACUGUAACUGACGCUGAGGCUCGAAAGCGUGGGGAGCAAACAGGAUUAGAAACCCGAGUAGUCC
RNAcentral lists this ribosomal RNA (425 nucleotides) under uncultured Clostridiaceae bacterium. Its description in RNAcentral is "bacterial SSU rRNA". It matches the Rfam family "Bacterial small subunit ribosomal RNA", at positions 354 to 796 of the family's 1533-position model. Lineage: Bacteria; Bacillati; Bacillota; Clostridia; Eubacteriales; Clostridiaceae. The record is from RNAcentral.